GGAGGGUGCAAGCAUUAAUCGGAAUUAUUGGGCGUAAAGGGCGCGUAGGUGGUAGAUCAAGUCACAUGUGAAAUUCCAAGGCUCAACCUUGGAACUGCAUGUGAAACUGGCCUGCUAGAGGUAAAGCGGAGAAAACGGAAUUUCCCGUGUAGCGGUGAAAUGCGUGGAUAUGGGAAGGAACACCGGUGGCGAAGGCGGCUUUCUAGCUUUAACCUGACACUGAGGCGCGAAAGCGAGGGGAGCAAACAGGGAUUAGAUACCCUGGUAGUCCUCGCUGUAAACGAUGCAUACUUGAUGUGAACUAGGCUCAACCCUAGUCGUGUCGAAGCUAACGCGAUAAGUAUGCCGCCUGGGAGUACGCUCGCAAGGGUG
RNAcentral lists this ribosomal RNA (372 nucleotides) under uncultured organism. RNAcentral's name for it is "partial 16S ribosomal RNA". It matches the Rfam family "Bacterial small subunit ribosomal RNA", at positions 527 to 896 of the family's 1533-position model. The record is from RNAcentral.